UACGUAGGGUGCAAGCGUUGUCCGGAAUUAUUGGGCGUAAAGAGCUCGUAGGCGGUCUGUCGCGUCGGAUGUGAAAACCCGGGGCUUAACCCCGGGCCUGCAUUCGAUACGGGCAGACUCGAGUGUGGUAGGGGAGACUGGAACUCUUGGUGUAGCGGUGAAAUGCGCAGAUAUCAGGAAGAACACCGGUGGCGAAGGCGGGUCUCUGGGCCACUACUGACGCUGAGGAGCGAAAGCGUGGGGAGCGAACAGG
This 253-nucleotide ribosomal RNA is filed under the name uncultured bacterium. Its description in RNAcentral is "partial 16S ribosomal RNA". It matches the Rfam family "Bacterial small subunit ribosomal RNA", at positions 524 to 776 of the family's 1533-position model. The record is from RNAcentral.